AUUUACAUUUGAGUGAGUGGCGAACUGGUGAGUAACACGUGGGAAACCUGCCCAGAAGCGGGGGAUAACACCUGGAAACAGAUGCUAAUACCGCAUAACAACUUGGACCGCAUGGUCCGAGCUUGAAAGAUGGCUUCGGCUAUCACUUUUGGAUGGUCCCGCGGCGUAUUAGCUAGAUGGUGGGGUAACGGCUCACCAUGGCAAUGAUACGUAGCCGACCUGAGAGGGUAAUCGGCCACAUUGGGACUGAGACACGGCCCAAACUCCUACGGGAGGCAGCAGUAGGGAAUCUUCCACAAUGGACGAAAGUCUGAUGGAGCAACGCCGCGUGAGUGAAGAAGGGUUUCGGCUCGUAAAACUCUGUUGUUAAAGAAGAACAUAUCUGAGAGUAACUGUUCAGGUAUUGACGGUAUUUAACCAGAAAGCCACGGCUAACUACGUGCCAGCAGCCGCGGUAAUACGUAGGUGGCAAGCGUUGUCCGGAUUUAUUGGGCGUAAAGCGAGCGCAGGCGGUUUUUUAAGUCUGAUGUGAAAGCCUUCGGCUCAACCGAAGAAGUGCAUCGGAAACUGGGAAACUUGAGUGCAGAAGAGGACAGUGGAACUCCAUGUGUAGCGGUGAAAUGCGUAGAUAUAUGGAAGAACACCAGUGGCGAAGGCGGCUGUCUGGUCUGUAACUGACGCUGAGGCUCGAAAGUAUGGGUAGCAAACAGGAAUUAGAUACCCUGGUAGUCCAUACCGUAAACGAUGAAUGCUAA
This 755-nucleotide ribosomal RNA is filed under the name uncultured bacterium. RNAcentral's name for it is "bacterial SSU rRNA". It matches the Rfam family "Bacterial small subunit ribosomal RNA", at positions 79 to 819 of the family's 1533-position model. The record is from RNAcentral.